Long non-coding RNA from Suricata suricatta (meerkat), 373 nucleotides. RefSeq lists it as uncharacterized. The record is from RefSeq and is a predicted model, not a curated record. Lineage: Eukaryota; Metazoa; Chordata; Mammalia; Carnivora; Herpestidae. The transcript has 4 exons.
GACGGCCAGGGGCGGUCGCCGGUGGCUCCUCGGCUACUUACCGGGGGAGAAGAGAACCGGGAUCCCGGGGCCCCGGACCGGACCGCGGAGAUGCCCCAAACUGACACGGCCGCCAUCUUGGAGACAAUUCCAUGCUCAUGAACCACCUCUAGUGCUCAUGAAUAGAUUAAAGCCGACCAUUUAUGUGGAAUAAAGUAUCUUCAUCUGACUCAGGCAGCUGGACAGAGAGAAGAGCAGAAAUUCAUUAACAUGUGGUUAAGUUAAGUCAAAGGUACCCUGGAUAGCUUGCUCUCACAUCCAGUGCAGCUGUGAUCCUAGGACCUUUCCGAAGGUCACAGUCUUGUGGUUCAUGGUUUCAAGCCCCAAGUCAAGC